GGGGUGAGAGGCUCCCAGCCAGACUACUGGGUUGAUAGGCCGGAUGUGGAAGCGUAGUAAUACGUGAAGCUGACCGGUACUAAUAAGCCGAUGACUUGAUAACACA
Molecule: ribosomal RNA, 106 nt
Filed under: Microbacterium sp. SUBG005
Lineage: Bacteria; Bacillati; Actinomycetota; Actinomycetes; Micrococcales; Microbacteriaceae
Description: partial 23S ribosomal RNA
Rfam family: Bacterial large subunit ribosomal RNA
Source: RNAcentral